Molecule: small nucleolar RNA, 107 nt
Filed under: Gossypium arboreum
Lineage: Eukaryota; Viridiplantae; Streptophyta; Magnoliopsida; Malvales; Malvaceae
Description: Plant small nucleolar RNA R71
Rfam family: Plant small nucleolar RNA R71
About the family: R71 is a member of the C/D box family of snoRNAs containing the C (UGAUGA) and D (CUGA) box motifs. Multiple nearly identical copies of this snoRNA have been identified in Arabidopsis, and it is thought to function as a 2'-O-ribose methylation guide for 18S ribosomal RNA.
Source: Rfam by way of RNAcentral
AUCCCAUGAUGAGGAAACUUACGAAGCAACUCCUUAAAUCAUUCCCAAGCCUCAUACAGAGACUCAUCAUCCAAUUGUUAGAAAGUUGUGAUCUCAUUCCUCAACUU